UACGGGGGGGGCAAGCGUUGUUCGGAAUUACUGGGCGUAAAGGGCUCGUAGGCGGCCAACUAAGUCGGAUGUGAAAUCCCCAGGCUCAACCUGGGAACUGCAUCCGAUACUGGAUGGCUUGAAUUCGGGAGAGGGAUGCAGAAUUCCAGGUGUAGCGGUGAAAUGCGUAGAUAUCUGGAGGAACACCGGUGGCGAAGGCGGCGAUCUGGCCCAACACUGACACUGAGACCCGAAAGCGCGGGGAUCAAACAGG
This 253-nucleotide ribosomal RNA is filed under the name uncultured bacterium. RNAcentral's name for it is "partial 16S ribosomal RNA". It matches the Rfam family "Bacterial small subunit ribosomal RNA", at positions 524 to 776 of the family's 1533-position model. The record is from RNAcentral.